This 429-nucleotide ribosomal RNA is filed under the name uncultured bacterium. RNAcentral's name for it is "bacterial SSU rRNA". It matches the Rfam family "Bacterial small subunit ribosomal RNA", at positions 355 to 776 of the family's 1533-position model. The record is from RNAcentral.
UGGGGAAUUUUGGACAAUGGGGGAAACCCUGAUCCAGCCAUUCCGCGUGAGUGAAGAAGGCCUUCGGGUUGUAAAGCUCUUUCGCAAGGGAAGAAAACUUAGCGACUAAUAUUCGCUGAGGCUGACGGUACCUUGAUAAGAAGCACCGGCUAACUACGUGCCAGCAGCCGCGGUAAUACGUAGGGUGCGAGCGUUAAUCGGAAUUACUGGGCGUAAAGCGUGCGCAGGCGGUUCUGCAAGUCAGAUGUGAAAUCCCCGGGCUCAACCUGGGAACUGCGUUUGAAACUACAGAGCUAGAGUAUGGGAGAGGGAGGUAGAAUUCCACGUGUAGCAGUGAAAUGCGUAGAGAUGUGGAGGAAUACCAAUGGCGAAGGCAGCCUCCUGGCCUAAUACUGACGCUCAUGCACGAAAGCGUGGGGAGCAAACAGG